GAAGUGUUAAGUUUAUAACACCUAUGGUAAGUCUUUAGGUGUAGUAUACUCCACCCGACACGAUUUUUUCCAAGGAACGAAACCCACUUUUUAUGAAAGACGUGGGACUUAGAAAUAGUCUGAAGACAAUUGUUUUUUUCUAUAGCAGAACUUUUUUUGAAGAACUUUUAAAAUUUGGUAUUUUUGUUAAACAUUUGUUUGUUUUUUGUUUGCUUUUUCACAUAACUUAUCUUAGAUCUGGUUGUAUAGAACUUUAUUUAUCUGAAAAAAGUGGACCCAAACAAAACCAAAAUGUUGAUUUUUAUGAGGAAUUUUUUACGAAAUUUUGACUUAAUAAACUUGGGAAAAGUAAAAAAAAUAUAUAUUUAUGGUGUUCUCUAUUUUUUUUAUUGACAGCAGUAUUAGAUCCCUACGGCUACAACACGUAUGUUGGUCAAGUCAAUCCCAGCCGUGGGAUCUUGCCAGCCUGCGUUGUUGUGGAGACAGGUCGUUUUACGAUCUCCUGGUGGACGAGCUUCGACGGCUUAUACGAGCGGCUCUCCGUUUCCGUAGCCACUCUGAAUUCCAACGCUGAAUGCUUAUUGGCUCCCUCUUCCUCAGUGAGAAGGUUUGCCUGAUCAACCACGAAUCCCUGAC
This 636-nucleotide long non-coding RNA is filed under the name Drosophila guanche. Lineage: Eukaryota; Metazoa; Arthropoda; Insecta; Diptera; Drosophilidae. The record is from RNAcentral.